RNAcentral lists this ribosomal RNA (405 nucleotides) under uncultured bacterium. RNAcentral describes it as "partial 16S ribosomal RNA". It matches the Rfam family "Bacterial small subunit ribosomal RNA", at positions 30 to 526 of the family's 1533-position model. The record is from RNAcentral.
AUUGAACGCUAGCGGGAUGCUUUACACAUGCAAGUCGAACGAGUGGCGGACGGGUGAGUAAUAUAUCGGAACGUGCCCAGUAGCGGGGGAUAACUACGCGAAAGAGUGGCUAAUACCGCAUAACAUUGGAGAGGCCGAUAUCGGAUUAGCUAGUUGGUGGGGUAAAGGCUCACCAAGGGAACGAUCCGUAGCUGGUUUGAGAGGACGACCAGCCACACUGGGACUUAGACACGGCCCCGACUCAUACGGGAGGCAGCAGGGGGGAAUUUUGGACAAUUGGCGAAACCCUGAUCCAGCCAUCCCGCGUGUAUGAGAAGGCCUUCGGGUUGUAAAGCACUUUUGUCAGAGAAGCGGUAUCUGCAGAAUAAGCACCGGCUAACUACGUGCCAGCAGCCGCGGUAAUAC